RNAcentral lists this transfer RNA (84 nucleotides) under Caldifarciminota bacterium 4484_100. RNAcentral describes it as "tRNA-Ser". It matches the Rfam family "tRNA". Rfam says of the family: Transfer RNA (tRNA) molecules are approximately 80 nucleotides in length. Their secondary structure includes four short double-helical elements and three loops (D, anti-codon, and T loops). The record is from RNAcentral. Lineage: Bacteria; Pseudomonadati; Caldifarciminota. RNAcentral also lists the same sequence under 2 other names.
GGAGGGCUAGUCCUAACUGGUAAGGCAGCGGACUUGAAAUCCGCCGGGAGCAAUCCCUUGGGGGUUCGAAUCCCUCGCCCUCCG